UGGGGAAUAUUGCACAAUGGGCGAAAGCCUGAUGCAGCAACGCCGCGUGAGCGAUGAAGGCCUUCGGGUCGUAAAGCUCUGUCCUAUGGGAAGAUAAUGACGGUACCAUAGGAGGAAGCCCCGGCUAACUACGUGCCAGCAGCCGCGGUAAUACGUAGGGGGCAAGCGUUAUCCGGAAUUACUGGGCGUAAAGGGUGCGUAGGCGGUUUAUCAAGUCAGGGGUGAAAGGCUACGGCUCAACCGUAGUGAGCCUCUGAAACUGGUGAACUUGAGUGUAGGAGAGGAAAGUGGAAUUCCCAGUGUAGCGGUGAAAUGCGUAGAUAUUGGGAGGAACACCAGUGGCGAAGGCGACUUUCUGGACUACAACUGACGCUGAGGCACGAAAGCGUGGGGAGCAAACAG
This 402-nucleotide ribosomal RNA is filed under the name uncultured bacterium. Its description in RNAcentral is "bacterial SSU rRNA". It matches the Rfam family "Bacterial small subunit ribosomal RNA", at positions 355 to 775 of the family's 1533-position model. The record is from RNAcentral.